UACGAACUGUGCGAACGUUAUUCGGAAUCACUGGGCUUACAGGGUGCGUAGGCGGCUCAACAAGUCAGGUGUGAAAGCCCCCGGCUCAACCGGGGAACUGCGCUUGAAACUGUUAGGCUCGAGUCAGCUAGAGGUACACGGAACUUCCAGUGGAGCGGUGAAAUGUGUUGAUAUUGGAAGGAACCCGGAGGCGAAAGCGGUGUACUGGGGCUGGUCUGACGCUGAGGCACGAAAGCCAGGGGAGCGAACGGG
RNAcentral lists this ribosomal RNA (252 nucleotides) under uncultured bacterium. Its description in RNAcentral is "partial 16S ribosomal RNA". It matches the Rfam family "Bacterial small subunit ribosomal RNA", at positions 524 to 776 of the family's 1533-position model. The record is from RNAcentral.